UUAACACAUGCAAGUCGAACGAUGAAGCCCUUCGGGGUGGAUUAGUGGCGAACGGGUGAGUAACACGUGGGCAAUCUGCCCUUCACUCUGGGACAAGCCCUGGAAACGGGGUCUAAUACCGGAUAACACUCCUGCCUGCAUGGGCGGGGGUUAAAAGCUCCGGCGGUGAAGGAUGAGCCCGCGGCCUAUCAGCUUGUUGGUGGGGUAAUGGCCCACCAAGGCGACGACGGGUAGCCGGCCUGAGAGGGCGACCGGCCACACUGGGACUGAGACACGGCCCAGACUCCUACGGGAGGCAGCAGUGGGGAAUAUUGCACAAUGGGCGAAAGCCUGAUGCAGCGACGCCGCGUGAGGGAUGACGGCCUUCGGGUUGUAAACCUCUUUCAGCAGGGAAGAAGCGAAAGUGACGGUACCUGCAGAAGAAGCGCCGGCUAACUCGUGC
RNAcentral lists this ribosomal RNA (442 nucleotides) under Streptomyces sp. 206-3.2-CV-H31(s)-03. RNAcentral describes it as "bacterial SSU rRNA". It matches the Rfam family "Bacterial small subunit ribosomal RNA", at positions 48 to 508 of the family's 1533-position model. The record is from RNAcentral. Lineage: Bacteria; Bacillati; Actinomycetota; Actinomycetes; Kitasatosporales; Streptomycetaceae.